CCCAGGAGAAGCCUUUACUGUGGAGGUAAGCAGGAUGCUAAUGGGACGCUGUCACACACACGGACCGUGCCCCGUUGGUGUGUCGCCGUGGCAGGGGAACAACAGGAGAGAGCAUUGCCUUCCACCUGCAAUCCCUGCACUUCGGUGAGAACUAAAUUAAGUGGGUCAAAUGCCUGUCGUGUUUCUGUUCCUGUUUGUCUGCCUCAAUCGUGCAAACUUGUAGUUUUCUCUCAAUUUCUUCCCCUGGGCAAAAUAAUGCAAAUUAUGUUUUAUUCUUUGAAAAAAGGGGGAUCCCCCCUCAGAAAAGGGAGGUGCGAAAUAAGAUGCAAGUAGUGAUGUGUUUGUUCU
This 348-nucleotide long non-coding RNA is filed under the name Zonotrichia albicollis (white-throated sparrow). RNAcentral's name for it is "lncRNA (ENSZALG00000014601.1)". The record is from RNAcentral. Lineage: Eukaryota; Metazoa; Chordata; Aves; Passeriformes; Passerellidae.